Zalophus californianus (California sea lion) is the source of this 366-nucleotide long non-coding RNA. RefSeq lists it as uncharacterized. NCBI's taxonomy places the organism in Eukaryota, Metazoa, Chordata, Mammalia, Carnivora, Otariidae. The transcript is spliced from 3 exons. The record is from RefSeq and is a predicted model, not a curated record.
GCCACAGGCCUGGAGCAGCAAGGAGAAGCAGCUAUUGUACUUCCCAGGGGGUUAAAUGGAAAGCAGGCCAUCUAAGAGAAAGUUAUUACAUCAAUUCCAGCCUUAUUGCAGCAAACCCAACACCAUUUCAUCAACAAAGCUCAUCAAGCCAAAACUACACGAUGUCCUCAAAUUAAAUGAUGACUGGACCACAGCGAAGCCUGCAGGAGUUGGAUGGCUCGGCCUAGGUUGGCCUUCACUGUACAAACAAUGAAUGCCACUUAACAUUGGAAGAGACACGAACGGUCACAGUCCAACCUCUGCACAUGUCGCAGAUCUCACUACUGCUACCUCUUUAUCCAACCUCCAUGGAUUCAGAUAUAGUUU